This 252-nucleotide ribosomal RNA is filed under the name uncultured bacterium. RNAcentral's name for it is "partial 16S ribosomal RNA". It matches the Rfam family "Bacterial small subunit ribosomal RNA", at positions 524 to 776 of the family's 1533-position model. The record is from RNAcentral.
UACGGAGGAUGCGAGCGUUAUCCGGAUUUAUUGGGUUUAAAGGGUGCGUAGGCGGCCUGCCAAGUCAGCGGUAAAAUUGCGGGGCUCGACCCCGUACAGCCGUUGAAACUGCCGGGCUCGAGUGGGCGAGAAGUAUGCGGAAUGCGUGGUGUAGCGGUGAAAUGCAUAGAUAUCACGCAGAACCCCGAUUGCGAAGGCAGCAUACCGGCGCCCGACUGACGCUGAGGCACGAAAGUGCGGGGAUCAAACAGG